CGCUACGGCCAUACCACUCUGAAAAAGCCUGAUCUCAUCUGACCUCGGAAGCAAAGCAGAGCUGGGCCCUGUUUAGUACUUGGUUGGGAGACUGAAUGGAAUACUAGUGCUGUAAAGC
Ribosomal RNA from Ictalurus punctatus (channel catfish), 118 nucleotides. Lineage: Eukaryota; Metazoa; Chordata; Actinopteri; Siluriformes; Ictaluridae. The record is from Ensembl.